RNAcentral lists this ribosomal RNA (502 nucleotides) under uncultured bacterium. RNAcentral's name for it is "partial 16S ribosomal RNA". It matches the Rfam family "Bacterial small subunit ribosomal RNA", at positions 899 to 1397 of the family's 1533-position model. The record is from RNAcentral.
ACUCAAAUGAAUUGACGGGGGCCCGCACAAGCGGUGGAGUAUGUGGUUUAAUUCGACGCAACGCGAAGAACCUUACCAGGCCUUGACAUGGGAAGUUUGAGUCACAGAGACGUGACUCUUCAGUUCGGCUGGCUUCCACACAGGUGCUGCAUGGCUGUCGUCAGCUCGUGUCGUGAGAUGUUGGGUUAAGUCCCGCAACGAGCGCAACCCCCAUCUUUAGUUGCCACCAGGUUAUGCUGGGCACUCUAAAGAAACCGCCGGUGACAAGCCGGAGGAAGGCGGGGAUGACGUCAAGUCCUCAUGGCCCUUACGGCCUGGGCUACACACGUACUACAAUGGUGGUGACAGUGGGUCGCGAAACCGCGAGGUUCAGCUAAUCCCAAAAAGCCAUCUCAGUUCAGAUUGCACUCUGCAACUCGGGUGCAUGAAGUUGGAAUCGCUAGUAAUCGUGGAUCAGCACGCCACGGUGAAUACGUUCCCGGGCCUUGCACACACCGCCCGU